GAAGAUAUGAUGAUUGGAGCUGUUGUAGCCAUCUUGCAAUCACGAGGCUGUAGUACUGAGGAUGGCAGAGCAAGAGAUGGAAGUUGUGUCUUCUGUAACAUGUUAAUGAAAGUUUCCCAACUGAUACAGGAGAGGAGGUAGAAAUUGAAGAAUGAGUCAUGAAGAGAAAGGAAAGAGCAUUUCCAGAAGAGGAGACAAUUCAGAAAAAUAUGCUGAGGAAAGAGAUGAUGCCCGUGGCGGGAAGCCAGAAGCAGAGAGCAUCACAGAACUUGGCUCUGGAG
Long non-coding RNA from Talpa occidentalis (Iberian mole), 281 nucleotides. RefSeq lists it as uncharacterized. The record is from RefSeq and is a predicted model, not a curated record. NCBI's taxonomy places the organism in Eukaryota, Metazoa, Chordata, Mammalia, Eulipotyphla, Talpidae. The transcript is spliced from 3 exons.